CUCUUAUUUAUCGCUGGCCUGUUUGCAGACAAAAACAUCUGGUAGAUUGUUUGAACACACAAUUCAUAAUAAAAGACAAAGAAAAACAAAAGGCAAAAGAAAUCCAACCUUUGAACUUAUGAUAGCAAUCAGCUAAUGCAAUGGUGGGAGGUUUCGUGUUUUGUGUCUCCUUGUUAACUCUUGCAUCCCAUUGUAUGUUAACUCUUCAGUUUCUCGUCUACAUCUCCUCAUUCAAGUUUAACAUCUCCAAAAAAAAUAUGUAGAUGUCUGCCGUGGUUAACAGGAUAUGAGAUCACAUACUUCCAAUCUAAAUAUUUGUCAUGUCUGUAAUAAAUUUGCAGAAAUAUUUACCCACCCUGUCCCACAUCACCCACACUUGAGUGGGUUACAAGUUUGGCAAGAAAUAUUUGAGACUUUACAAGCCUCCGUUGUGAGUAAAAUUAACAUAUUCAGCAGUCUGGGAGCGUUUAUCAUGGUUACAGACUAAAGGCGUGGACUUUGGACAGCUCAUCAGAGCUAUGGAGGCUUGUGGGAAAACUAUAAACCAACAUAUCCUGUAAUUGCCAUUGAACUUUGAGUGACUGAGGAGUGAUGAUACAUUCUGAUACAUAUCACAGUCUGGAAUGCAUGUGGCGGUUCAACGUGCCGCAUUUGUGCAAUGAAUUCACUUCCCAUUUCAUCAGGCUACUUGUAGUAAUUUAGUAUUGUCAUACUAAGGGAUAGUUCACAAAAAAUAGAAGAAGAAAGAACAUUCUGUAAUCAUUUACUCAACAUCACGUCAUUCCAAACCAGUAGUGAUGAACCAAAAUGAAUAUUUUUACCAAGACAUUAAACCAAAAUUAGUUGGGGUAAUUAAAUUUGUGCAGUUGGGUAAUUGAACGCUUUAUGCUUUUCAGGGUGUCGUCUUUUCUGGUGAUAAAGCAGUUGUAGUGAAUACAUACAGCUGAGCUACUCAAGCAUAAUUCUUGGUAAUGGGGAAGAGCGCCCACACAGCUGACAUGGUUUCUUGUUUUAGGUUAUCCACAUUGUUUACAUGAAAUAGAAACUAGGGAUCUGAAACAGUCAAAACACAUCAUUAAAAACGCUUGAAAUAAAUAUUAC
Long non-coding RNA from Sinocyclocheilus rhinocerous, 1101 nucleotides. RefSeq lists it as uncharacterized. The record is from RefSeq and is a predicted model, not a curated record. The transcript is spliced from 3 exons. Lineage: Eukaryota; Metazoa; Chordata; Actinopteri; Cypriniformes; Cyprinidae.